Molecule: ribosomal RNA, 143 nt
Filed under: uncultured bacterium
Lineage: Bacteria
Description: partial 16S ribosomal RNA
Rfam family: Bacterial small subunit ribosomal RNA
Source: RNAcentral
CCUGAAGGAGCACGCCGCGUGAGUGAAGAAGUUUUCGGAUCGUAAACUCUGUUGUUAGAGAAAACCGGAUGAGAGUAACUGUUCAUCCCUUGACGGUAUCUAACCAGAAAGUCACGGCUAACAACGUGCCAGCGCCGCGGUAA